GGAGCGGCGGCCACCUUGGGGGCAGCGCGGCGCGGCGGGGCAUCAUGCCGUACGUCCUCAUCAGUACUCAGAUCCGCAUGGUGAGCAGCUCGAGGGGAGCUCUAGGUGGGCUUGCCGGUCUGGUGCUGAGCAGGAGCGCGUCGGUGCCCAUGCCCAGGAAUGCGAGGGACGGCCCCGAACUGUUUGCUGCCCGUCCGUGUCCGCUUGCAGAGGUGGACUGGGGCGCGGGCAGGAGUUGAUCUCAUUUGCCUUUGCAGGAGGUGCCGUUGCUUCCCGGCAAUACCUCCCUGCAUUAAACAGCGGUCGGCCCUUGUUUCCUGCUUUGGCCCCUGAGCGUGCAUGAGUAUUUUCGGAGCCCGAUGGGGCUGUCUCUUUCUGUGUUGUUUAGGGCUGGUGGCGGUGUGAUUGGCAAAACCCUCCUGGGUCUAGGCAUGGAUCGAAACAUACCUGGCUGUUUUCUGGUUUGUUUCCUUUUCCAGGGAUGCCACCUGCUAAACUGUCCAGGUAACUUACAGGUCUCAACGGAUGCUCGACAGGUGGCUCCUUCUGCUGAGCGAUGGUCCCAAGGGUGGUCUGUCUGUUAGCAUGAACCUACUGUGGAUAUAUCCCAGUGUAUCAGACGGGUGCCAAGUUUGCCUUUUUGAUGCUAAAAGUUGCUGUUAUUCAGGCUGAGGAUGGAAGCAACCAGUGAUUCUGUAAAAUAGUUGCAUGAUAAGACAGUUUGCAUGUCCUAGAUUACAAACCGAUAGCGCUUACUUUUUCUCUCCUUGACAAAAAUAACGGACUGAAAUCCAAUACGUUGUAGCUUUGCACGACAAGCAGCUUGAGUCUGAUGGUAAAUUUAAAUAACGCUGCCAGAAGUUCUGUUACAUGGGAAUGACUAAUACUGCUUAUUUAUGUAGAAGAUUUUAGUAUUCAAAUCAAUUUACAUACCAGUACAUUGUUGUUGUAAUUCUUAUGACAGCUCCACAAGGUAGAGCAGUUUUAUUACUCGCAUAUUGUAGAUCGGAUGCUGCGGCUCAAAGAAAGUAGUUAGGUUAAUAUUAUCUAUGUUCAUGCCUGAGGUAAGAUUUGAACCAAGGAUUUCCUGAUUCCCAUAUUAGACUGUUAAGCUACUGCACUACACCAGCUCAUCCUACAAAAAAUGUCAGAAGGCUGCUAUUUUGUAUAUUUAUACCUUUCCUCCAAGGGGUUCAAAACAGCAUAUAGGGUGCUCCUUCUUUCUAUCCUCAAAACAGACCUGUAAGAGGGGCAUUUAUACAAUAUAUGUAUAUGCAGGCAAAUAAGUAUGCAUAUAUGUAUUUAUGUGUUUGGUGAUUUGUAUGUGUAUGUGUUGGUGACAGCAGUCACGAAAUUAAAAGACGCCUGCUUCUUGGGAGAAAAGCAAUGACAAACCUAGACAGCAUCUUAAAAAGCAGAGACAUCACCUUGCCGACAAAGGUCCGUAUAGUUAAAGCUAUGGUUUUCCCAGUAGUGAUGUAUGGAAGUGAGAGCUGGACCAUAAAGAAGGCUGAUCGCCGAAGAAUUGAUGCUUUUGAAUUGUGGUGCUGGAGGAGACUCUUGAGAGUCCCAUGGACUGCAAGAAGAUCAAACCUAUCCAUUCUUAAGGAAAUCAGCCCUGAGUGCUCCCUGGAAGGACAGAUCGUGAAGCUGAGGCUCCAAUACUUUGGCCACCUCAUGAGAAGAGAAGAAUCCUUGGAAAAGACCCUGAUGUUGGGAAAGAUUGAGGGCACUAGGAGAAGGACGUCAGAGGACAAGAUGGUUGGACAGUGUUCUCGAAGCUACGAACAUGAGUUUGACCAAACUGCGGGAGGCAGUGCAAGACAGGAGUGCCUGGCAUGCUAUGGUCCAUGGGGUCACGAAGAGUCGGACACGACUAAACGACUAAACAACAACAACAACAACAACAACAACAACAAAAAUGUGUAUGUGUAUAUGUCUAGAUGGAACCAAAUGAGCACAUUUAAAGCUGCUUGACGCAUUAUAUUUUAUCUGCACACUUAAAAAUGUAAUGUGAUGCAAACCCUAGGAAAAGGACCAGAGCUAAGUAGUAAUGCUUAUGCCUUGCAUGCAGGUUGGGGAACACUGUGAUAUUGCAUACACUGUGAUAUUAUUUAAGCACUGCUCAGUCUGUAAAAUACAGCUGAAAGAUUCCACGCCAUGAUAACUCCCAUUCUUUGCGACCUGUGUACAUAAUGCAGAUUAGGCAUAUCUUCACCCACUCUUUCCCAUAAUUUAGGCUGGAAUCCUAAACACAUCUGAGAUCAUGCAUCAUUAAACUUACUUCUGAGUCGAUAUUUAUUGGAUUGUACUGGGCAUGGAAUGGACGAGGCUGGGCAUCUCCUAGCCAACUGAAAAUGUCACUUGGUCUUUGCUCAGCACUGCCCCCACACAUUCCAAUUUAUUUUUGCCCAUAAGGACUAGAAGCUUGAGUUAAAUAGCAAAGGGAAAGGAAAUGAAAACUGUAAAGCUGAAUUUCUGGUUCCAGUGCCACUUUUAGUACUCUUUGCUUUUGUGGAAUCACAGAAUACCUACAGCUUUGUAUAUUGUGGCACGUAUACCAGUUCUUUUCUGCUUUACUAAGCACACAUGCCUGGAGCCACCCCUUACUCCUAGGUUUGGCUCUGCUGCUGCACCAGACCUGCACAGAGUUCCCUCUACUUGCAGAAAGCUUAUGUAGUAAUUAAACUGUGACCAGUCUUUGUUGAGCGGUCGCUCUGAUUUGCUUAUAGGGUGCUUGUAUGUCUAUGAGCAUUCAUCUUGAUUUGCUUGCCUUCCCAUUAAUCAGUCAUUUAUCCUACAUUUCCCUGUGCAUUUCCCUAUUGCUUUUUGAGCCGCAAAAAGAUUGUUAAGAAGUGAAUUUGUUGCAUUGCACCAACCUAAAUCUCUGAUACAGUGCAUGCUUUAAUAAUAAUUAAUAAUAAUACCCCACCCAUCUGACUGGGUUUCCGCAGCCACUCUUGGGUGGCUUCCAGCACAUAUAAAAACGUAAUAAAACAUCAAACAUUAAAAACCUCCUGAUACAGGGAAAUCCCUUCUGCAAAAUAGUGACUGUCGGGAAGCACUUUGAGUCUAGCUUUUUUAAAUCUCAACCUGAGUGACGUAUUGCCCUGUUCUUGCUAUGUAAAGACUCUAGCAGAUUCCGAUUAUAUUCAUUGCAGAGGCCUCUGCAUGCCAGCCAGAGUAUCAAACUGCAUGGGCUAGAUGUAUUGAAUGUUAGCAAAGGAAAGAAAUUGAGUUACAAAACAACUGGAAACUGAGUGAAGAGUGGCAAAGGGCAAAAUGGAAGAAACUUCCAGUCAUUUUGAUCUGUAAACACAAAGGCAGUGUGUCAUAGUACAUUGUGAAUCAAAUGGGGUUGCACAAUUGUCCUUUAAAAAUCGAAUAAAAGUUUUAAAGUCCAGUUCCUCUCUGAUACACAAAUGGAUAUUAUUGCCCUCAUAUGUUAGGAAAAGCUCUAUCAAGUUUCACCUUUGCUCCCUUGUUUCUCUGUGUGGUACACUCUACAUUGCAGCACAUUAAAAAAAUUUUUUUUUAAAGAAAUCUGUAGCAGAUCAUGUGGGAUAACCAGCCUCAAAUAACCUACGUGCUUAGGUCUAAUUUAUGCAUGAAGGGGUUAAGACCGUAGAGUAAGCCGUCUUGCAUGGCUUAGCCCAUCUUGGGAGGGACUAGGUAAUCAAGACUUUGUUUUUGUCAGCCUACCUUGGUUGCUCCAAGCUCAGACCACAUGGCUCUAACAAGCCUCUCUUGAAUUCCUAUACCAAUAAUUUAGGGACUUCUACCACUGUCACUAAGGCAGGUUUACUGCCUGUAACUUUUCCUGAAUGCUGUGUGGGAAAGCACAUGAAUAUGACCUUUGCAGAGUUUGAGGUUGGGCCCACCAUGGUUGGCGAUGAGCAUUCUGACCCAAACCUGAUGCAAUACCUUGGGGCCACGAAAAGAAACAUGUUGGGGAACCAUUUGUAAGUAUUUCAUCUCCCAUUUUUUUGCUUCUCCAUCCUUUGGUUAACCAGUCAGAGAUUUUGAUAGUAUAAUGUGACUUUUGCCUUUUGAUUUUGCAUGUGCAUUGCAAAUACAAUACUUAUGGGCAAUUCACAUGUCUUUGUGUUCAUCACCGGGAUGCCUGCAGUAUCAAAUAGUGCCUUGCAUGUGUGAAUAGGCCAUCACAGCUACAGCACUGCAGGCAAGAUGUUCCUAUCACCUCUCAAACCCGUGGUUUUUCAGUGGAUUUCAGUCCACACAUCCAGCUGCUAGUGUAAAUGAAACAAAAAUAAAGUAACAAGUGUAGAUAAGCCAAGUGAAUAUGGGAACCAGACUUUAGUUUAGUUUUUAGGCAAUACUGAGUUCAAUAGACCAGUGGUUUGACUCAUACAGUGUAAGGCAGUUUUUUAUAUGUUCACGUGUGAAUUGGAAUCUAAGCAUUUGGAGGCACGGUGAAAAGUCCAUUACCAACUCAGUGUCUACAGUUUAUGUCAACAUGUAGAGGGCACCAUGUUGGGUACCCCUGAUCUAAGUGGUUAAAAACAUUUCCUCACACACUGCAUCUAUGGCCAAACUAUGCCCUGCAUAGUUUGCAUAGAGUCCCAUGGACUGCAAGAAGAUCAAACCUAUCCAUUCUGAAGGAAAUCAGCCCUGAGUGCUCACUGGAAGGACAGAUCGUGAAGCUGAGGCUCCAAUACUUUGGCCACCUCAUGAGAAGAGAAGAAUCCUUGGAAAAGACCCUGAUGUUGGGAAAGAUGGAGGGCACUAGGAGAAGGGGACGACAGAGGACAAGAUGGUUGGACAGUGUUCUCGAAGCUACGAACAUGAGUUUGACCAAACUGCGGGAGGCAGUGGAAGACAGGAGUGCCUGGCGUGCUCUGGUCCAUGGGGUCACGAAGAGUCGGACACGACUAAACGACUAAACAACAACAUGCCCUGCUGUUCACCUUCAUCAUUCAGCUCUGUGAAAACUAUGUGUAUUCUUUAGGAUGGAUGGAACACUCCACCCUGCUGCUGAGAUGUUUCCUGGACUUCAGUCCAAAGUAAAUGAAAAGAGUCCUCUUCAGGCCUAGCUGUGGUUGCUGGAUCCACCCCUUCCAUCUCGUCCCCUGCUGGCCCCGCCUCUGCUAUCCAUGCAUUAGGGAGGGGGGAAAUCUGAAGCAAAAAGCCUGCUGUAUACUUGUACACUCGCAGGUCAGGCUCCAGUGCAUGCAUGCAUCCAGUGCAUGGAGGGCAGCAGGGGUGGGCAAUGGGGUUGUGACCAGCAAGUGUGGCCCCACUUUUCCUCUCAUGCAGUAAACAUCGUGUGAGGGCUUAAUGCCAGAAUAGGGUUGGAACAAAAGUAAAAAAAUGAAGGCCCAUUCAUCCUGAGAAAUUUCAGGAGGAGUGUUCCAGCCACUGUCCCUUGCGGGACUCUCAUCUUGCUUCAGCCCCUAAAUAUAUAGGAAGCUGCCUUGCACUGAGUCAGACCAUUGGUCCAUCUAGCUCUAUAUUGCCUGCACUGACCAGCAGCAGGUGGAGCUCUCUCCCAGGCCUACCUGGAGAUGCCAGGGAUUGAACCUGGGACCUUUCUGCAUGCAGAGUAAAUUUUCUACCACUUCCUCAUCAUUAGUUCAACUUCUGCCUUGUGCAUUUCCCCCCUUCCCGUCCUCAGUCUGUUUUCAGUCUGGUGUUCCUUUGACAUUCUUUCAAGUAUGUCAAAAGCCCUUUUCAGGUGUUAUAAUCUCCCCCACAAGUAGCAUUGUGUGAUGAAGAGCACCCAAAACUUUUAGCCCCCAUCACUGUUCCUGUCACCCUCCAAUGCUGGAGAGUGAACUUCUGAAGCAGGAAGCCUCCUAUACUUGUGGAAGGUCCCCACACAAUACAGAACCCUCUAAUUACGAUUUAAACACACAGUUUUGAAGGUGAUUGCUUUAUUGUUUCAUAACUAUAAGGUGAGACUGAAAAUCUCUUGAAACAAACAAGUCUUUCAGAUUUGAAGAAGAGGAAAAUUAAGGAACAUUUUCCUCCCACAUGAACAUUUACCUCAGAGAUAAGAACUAAGAAAUGGUGAAGAAGAACUAGUGUUUCCCCCGUCAUUUAUAAUCAUGCCCUUCUUAAAACCACAAUGUACUCUUAAUGAUGUUUUCUGCUCUUUCCCUUCUCAUUGUCAUAUUCCCUGAUCGUACAGCUUAUACUGUACUUGAAAGCAACUAUUUUAUUAGCAGAGAAAAAGUGAUUUAAUGUGUAAAAUUGCAUUGCUGGAAAAUGGCAUUUGUUGGAAGCACCAGCUUGUCUUGAGGGGCCCCCUAGAAUUCUGAUCAGCUGCCUUCCUGCAAGUGCUUUCAAGAAAGAGCGAGGACCUUUAAGCCUUGGGUGAUGAGUGUGGCCCUCGAGACCUCUUUUUGACCCUUGAGACUGUCCCUAGGCCAAGCCCCCUCCAGGUGUGUGCAUGUGGGGGGAAACAACCCUCUGACUUUUGUGUGGAUGGAAUGUAGCCUAAUGUCGAAAGGUAAGAAUUGCAUCAAUUGCUGCAUCCACUUUUACCUCUGACCCCACCUACCACUGGCAUGUGGCCCCUGGAAGGCAGUACAUGAGAGAAUGCGGCCUUUAGACUGAAAAAGAGUCCUUACGCCUGCCGCUGAGUUCUUGUGCUCACCAGAGAAGUGUCCUUGUUCAUUUCCAGCAGGUGCGUGGCAACUAUGUGGUAGGAUGCAACAACAACAACAACUUUAUUAUUCAUACGCCGCCCAUCUGGCUGGGUCUCCCCAGCUACUCUGGGUGGCUUUCAGCAUAUCUUAAAACAGGCAUCCCCAAACUGCGGCCCUCCAGAUGUCUUGGCCUACAACUCCCGUGAUCCCUAGCUAACAGGACCAGUGGUCAGGGAUGAUGGGAAUUGUAGUCCAAAACAUCUGGAGGGCCGAAGUUUGGGGAUGCCUGUCUUAAAACAUAAAACAUCAAGCAUUAAAAACCUUGAUGCGAGAGGAAUCCUGCCUGAGACUUUCUUUUAGAUUGGAUAUAGGCAACAUGGUGCCAUCCAGAAUUUGUGAAUUGCAACUCCCAUCAGCCCCAGAAGGCAGGGCCAAUGGUCAAAGAUGAUGGGGUUUGUAAUCCAAAACAACUGGAGGGUGCCGCACGUGGCCUUUCCCUGCUCUAGGGCUUGCUGUGAGAAGUGUCACUCCCUCAUGUCAACUUUUGUACUUGGCUGACGUGUCCCCAAACAUGACAAGUUCUAAUUCUUACCCCAUCCAUUUCUAGGAUGCAAUCAAUGUUUAGUCAGUGGAUGCUUUUCCUGUCUCCGUUGCCACGGUGAAAAGCUGCAUAGCUUGCCUCCUCCCUUUUGUAAUUGAAGAGGAGGAAGAGGGGAAAAAAUAAAAAACAAACCUGCCUUGGUGGAAUGUAGGGCUAUACUUGGCAUCUUUGCUGUGGGUGUGAAAACCUGCAUGCCAAGAAGGUUAAGUCAGAGGGAUCAGUUCAGAGAACCAAGUAGGAACACAACCAAGGGAGGCCUAUUAAAUUAUCAAGGUGGAGAUUGAGCCAUACUAAGGGUAAAUUGCUUUUCUAAGCAGUUAUGGCGCCCUUCCAAGUUGUAAACGACUUGUGAAGGGCAUAUCUGCAACACUUAAAGUGUUAUAACUAAGUAGCUUUUAAAUGUAUUAAAAAAUCAGUUGCACUAAAUGAUCGUGCAGGUAACCCGCUCUUUCAGUAAAAUAAAUCCUGUUAGUUUUAAAGCAGAUGUAGGGAACCUGUGGCUCUCCAGAUAUGGUUGGAUUCUAGUUCCAGCCAGCAUGGUCAAUGUUGAGGGAUGAUGGGAGUUCUGGUUCAGCCGGAACUGGGAGGUCACACAUUCCCCACCCCUGUUUUAAAGGUGCAAGUGGAUUUUUUUUUAAAUUGAAAACAGUAUUUUGGAGUAAGCCUGGAAAUCUUAAAACAAGCAUGCAUCAGCUGGGAUUACAAAUCGCUUGGACUACUGCAAUGCGCUCUACGUGGGGCUACCUUUGAAGGUGACCCGGAAACUACAACUAAUCCAGAAUGCGGCAGCUAGACUGGUGACUGGGAGCGGCCGCCGAGAUCACAUAACACCGGUCCUAAAAGACCUACAUUGGCUCCCAGUACGUUUCCGAGCACAAUUCAAAGUGUUGGUGUUGACCUUUAAAGCCCUAAACGGCCUCGGUCCGGUAUACCUGAAGGAGCGUCUCCACCCCCAUCGUUCUGCCCGGACACUGAGGUCCAGCUCCGAGGGCCUUCUGGCGGUUCCCUCAUUACGAGAAGCCAAGUUACAGGGAACCAGGCAGAGGGCCUUCUCGGUAGUGGCACCCGCCCUGUGGAAUGCCCUCCCACUAGAGGUCAAAGAGAACAAUUACCAGACCUUUAGAAGGCAUCUCAAGGCAGCCCUGUUUAGGGAAGCUUUUAAUGUUUGAUGGAUUUCUGUAUUUUAGAAUUUCUGUUUUUUUUUGGAAGCCGCCCAGAGUGGCUGGGGGAACCCGGCCAGAUGGGCGGGGUAUAAAUAAUAAAUUAUUAUUAUUAUUAUUAUUAAAUGUAGUUAACAAGAAAGUACUUAAAUAAAUGGAGAUUGUGUGGCUUGAAUCCGGGUCACACACAGCCACGGUUUUCCCCACAGAGCAAGAUGACCUCUCAUCUAGCCCCAAAUAUGUGGCAAGGACCACAGAAAUGUCAAAAAUGUUUCGGCGAUGCUUAUUAUCCUUUAUUAGUUGGGAUGUAUCAAGAGCAGUCAGUUUGGAUUCCCUUGUUAAUUUCUUCUUAUCAGUUAGAUUCCCAAGUUGUAGGCCGUCCUUCCUAUUUCCUCAUUAUUCAAAGGGCAUUUUAAUGUUUCUAUAAGUGAUCCCUAAACUGAAAAAAGAAAAGAUAUGCUGAAGAUUCCACAGCCAAGUUCAACUCCAAACUUGCAUUUACAGUACAGUUGGUUUUGACGUCACUCUGCCAUGAAGUGUGUUAAGCUUCAUGCUAAUCCUAUCUAGAUCAGCCAAUACCUAAGCUGGCAAGAGCUGAUGAAUUGUUCGCUCUGGCGAACAGGGAAGAAAGGGGCUGCUUUCCUGCCUGCGGAGCGCUUUAAAGUUGGUGGCCCCGCCCCGACCGACCUCAUUGGCCGGUCGGGGGUGACGCAGGCGGGAACCUACCAUCGCGUAGGGGCUGAGCUUGCAGCCCCUACGCGAUGGUACAGUCGGGCAGCCCACAACCCCACCUCCGUCGCAGGCUCAGAAGUGGCUUUGCGGUCCAAAACAUCUGAAGGGCACCAGGUUGGAUAAGCUGCUCUAGAGAGUGUGAUUGGUCUGUAUGGGGCCUACUAUCCAAAGCAACAGGCACAGAGUUAGAUAAUACUUACACACUUUUUGACCAGCCCAUAGAAGUGGAGCUGCUGAUAUUUCUUGCAUAGAGAUGCUUUAAUUACUGCCAUAUUACAACCUGUUCCCUGUUCCUUGUAAAAGGCUAGCUAAUAGGUUUAGCCUUUAUGAUUUAACAUAUUGCUCAAGAUUAAUGAGUUAAUCAUGUCUGUGAUCUUCUGUGAUGGAGCCAAUAUUAAAUUGCUUUUUGGUGUGUACAACAAUAUUCCCUACAUCCAUUAAAUAUGCCCUGAAAUUGAAGGGGGCCUUACUUUUCCUGAGUAACAAGACAUUUAAGAUAGGAUUACCAGUAUUCGUAGUGCAUGUGCUAUGCAGACACAAACUGGAUAAAAUGUACAGGUGAAACUCGGAAAAUUAGAAUAUCGUCGAAAAGUGCAUUUAUUUCAAUAAUGCAAUUUAAAAGGUGAAACCAAUAUAUGAGAUAGAUGCAUGACAUGCAAAGCAAGAUACCGUAUGUCAAGCCUUUAUUUGUUGUUGUAAUUGUAAUUAUUUGUCGUUAGGCGGGUCAAUUAUAAAUUGAAUGUAAUUAAUGAAAUGUAGUAGCCAUGUUUAGUUUUGUUUAUUUUUGUAUUAUUGUAACUAUUUGUUUUAUUACUGUGGAAUUUCCAAAAGAAAGCAUUUGUAAAAAUAAAAAAUAAAAAUAAGUUGCAUUCCUGAAAUAAAUGCAAUUUUCGACGAUAUUAUAAUUUUCCGAGUUUCACCUCUAUAUUUCACAAUCACUCCCGGCUAUGUUUUUGAGAUGCUGAAGAAAUACUAGGUGAUUUUCCUUCAGAAUAUACUGGCCCUUGCCUUUCUCUGCACCCUUUUCCAAAUCUUGAAAUAGAAGUUUGACUGGAAGAUUACAAUCACCAAAGUGACUCUUGUAUCCCCUAGGGUGGGACCAGGAACCUUUUUUCAGGAUGAGGGCUCUGCUCCAUUCUCUUCUGGCAACCUUGCAGGAGCCACAUGCUAGGGGUGGGUGGGGCCAGAGGCAAAAGUGGGUGGAGCAAUAGUUGUGAAUUCUACUUGUAUAUUGUAGGGUAGUUUCUUCACAUCUCUCUCUCUGUAUCCCCUGUUCAAGCAAGUAAGAAGCAUUAUCAGGGCUCAAAGGCACAUUCUAGCCAGGCAAAGACACUCAAGGAGGGUGUGAACCAGAGCUAGUGAGGGGUUUGGCCUGAGGAGAGUCCCAACGGCCAGAUUUAAGGAGGAAUUCAAUGUCACUCUCUUCCAGUGUUAGAAAUUCCCCAGCCGCCAGGCACAUUUUGCAACUGGUGUGGGUGACCACAUGGAGAUCUCUGGAUGCCAGGUUGGCAACUGACAUCUCCAGCUGGCUGGCCCCUCCAGCUUUCCUAAGCAGGUAAGCAGAAGAGCUUAUUUAUCUCCCACCAUUUUCUCCAAGCAGUACAUUGUUCACCCCCCUCCUUAAUCCCUACGACGACCCUGUGAGGUAGGUUAAGAGGCUGUGACUGGCCCAAGAUCACCUAGUGAGCUUCAUGACUGAGUGGAGAUUUGAACCCUGAUCUCCUAGGUCCUAGUCCGACACGCUAUAACCACUAUGCCACAUUGGCUUCCUAGAGUACUUCCGUUAUGGGUCAGCUUUAUAAAUUAAGUAGGUAAAUAAAUAUGGGAAAGGCAAACAUCACUUAGAGAAGGAUCUGAAGUAUUUUCCUUGAAGCUUGAAUCUGCUUUAUUCUGGAUUGUUUUAUUUGAUAUUUUAAUUAGUUGUAAACUGCUUUGAGAUUUUUUUCUUUUAAAUAUAAAGUGGCAUAGAAAUGAAUAACAAUAACAAAUUCCACUGCAAAGUACCGUAUUUUUCACUCCGUAAGAUGCACUUUUUCCCUCCCAAAAAAGGAAGGGGAAAAGUCCGUGCGUCCUAUGGAGCGAAGGCUGGGGCCGGAGCCGCGCGCAGCAGGAAACCGGCUCUUGGGCUGCUUCCGUGACAGCAGAGAGGGCUGCUUCUCUCCCUCUCCCUCUCUCACCCCUUCCUUCAUUGUCUCUCUCUCUUUCUCUCUCUCACCCCUUCCUUCCCUCCCUCCCUCUUCCAACUUGAAUAAAAUAUGGGGGGGGCAGGUAAGUCCCACCUCACAUACCGUAUCAGCCUUUCUCAACCUGUGGGUCCCCAGAUGUUGCUAACUACAACUCCCAUCGCCCCUAGCUAGCAAGGCCAGAGCUUAGGGAUGAUGGGAGUUGAGGGAUAGUGGGAGCUGUAGUCUAACAACAUCUGGGGACCGACAGGUUGAGAAUCACUGCAAUUGAUCUCAAGACAAAGUGCAUGCACACUAUAUGAAUGACAAUGCCCAUCAACCUGGGGGGACGAUGACUUCCUCAAAUAUUUAAUUUGAGGCUUCUAGGAGUUGGCUGCUAUGCCUAGGACAAUCCAAGAAAGCAAAUUUUUUUUUCUUGUUUUCCUCCUCUAAAAACUAGGUGGUCAGGUGUGUCUUAUGGAGCGAAAAAUACGGUAAAAAAUAAAAAAGGCUCCUAUACCAUUAGUUUUGGGGAAUGCAACCUAGGUUUUAAGGUGCCAUUUGGCCAUUAGUUUUGAGUUUCUAACACUGCUCUCUUCUGAUCAUUCCAUCAGCACAAAGCAUAUCAGCUUGCCUGACGAACAAUUCCCCCUUUUCUCCCUGGUGUGCUGUUCUGGGAGUUCUCACAACCCCAAGAGCCAAUUGCAAGUUCAGGGAGAGGGGAGGAAACCCCAUUGCACAAGCAGAUGGCCUUGUGCAGGACUUCUGCUGACAGUACUGGUCAGGGCAGAGCUUUCCAAACUUUUCAUGUUGGUGACACACUUUUUAGACAUGCAUCAUUUCACGACACAGUAAUCCAGUUUUACUAGCAAACCAGAGGUUAAACCAACCCCUUUCCAGCCCGAGGAGCGCGGGGAGUGUUAGCGACACACAAGUUUGGAAAGCCCUGGGUUAGGGCCAGAACCUUUGGCUCCAAGGCCUGAGGUUUCCCAACCCUCUCCUAAGUCUUCUGAAAAUUUGGGAUGGCAAAGCCGUAACUGGGCAUAAUCCUGAUCUGCAUCACUUUAGUUUACACGUCCAGUUACUUUCUAUGUUUACCGAUUGUGCUGUCAGAACCUUGAUGGAAAUUUGGUAGCCUUCCCCAAGUGGUGGUUACAGUUCAGUUGAAGUUAUUUGGGAAACUGCUUCUUCUCAUUGUUUCCACAUCUUGUUUACAACAGCUGGGAAUACUAUGUGCAGGAUGCCCCUCGGAUCGUCUUGGACAAGCUGGAGAAGCGUGGUUAUCGCGUGAUCAGCAUGACGGGAGUGGGCCAGACACUGGUGUGGUGCCUCCACAAAGAAAGUACAGAGAACUCAGAUUU
Molecule: non-coding RNA, 12627 nt
Organism: Zootoca vivipara (common lizard)
Lineage: Eukaryota; Metazoa; Chordata; Lepidosauria; Squamata; Lacertidae
Source: RefSeq, a predicted model, not a curated record